This 437-nucleotide ribosomal RNA is filed under the name uncultured bacterium. Its description in RNAcentral is "partial 16S ribosomal RNA". The stretch from base 97 to 437 matches the Rfam family "Bacterial small subunit ribosomal RNA", at positions 39 to 507 of the family's 1533-position model. The record is from RNAcentral.
GGGGGGGGGGGGGGGGGGGGGGGGGGGGGGGGGGGCGGAGGGGGGGGGGGGUGGGGGGGGGGGGGGGGGGGGGGGGGGCGGAGGGGGGGGCGGGGGGGAGGGGGACAAGGACUGGCCCCGGGUGCUAAUAGCCCGUAGGCGGAGGGGCAAAAGGAGAAAUCCGCCCGCGGAGGGGCUCGCGUCUGCUUAGCUAGUUGGUGAGGUAGUAGCUGACCAAGGCGCUGGUCAGUAGCUGGUCCGAGAGGAAGAUCAGCCACACGGGUACUGAGACACGGCCCAGACUCCUACGGGAGGCAGCAGUGGGGAAUUUGCCGCAAUGGGCGAAAGCCUGACGGAGCAAUGCCGCGUGGAGGUGGAAGGCCUACGGGUCGACAACUUCUUUUCUCGGAGAAGAAACAAUGACGGUAGCUGAGGAAUAAGCAUCGGCUAACUCUGUG